RNAcentral lists this transfer RNA (92 nucleotides) under Truepera sp. RNAcentral describes it as "tRNA-Ser". It matches the Rfam family "tRNA". Rfam says of the family: Transfer RNA (tRNA) molecules are approximately 80 nucleotides in length. Their secondary structure includes four short double-helical elements and three loops (D, anti-codon, and T loops). The record is from RNAcentral. Lineage: Bacteria; Thermotogati; Deinococcota; Deinococci; Trueperales; Trueperaceae.
GGAGGGUUGGCUGAGUGGUUGAAAGCGGCGGUCUUGAAAACCGUUAUAGGGUCUACACCUUAUCGGGGGUUCGAAUCCCUCACCCUCCGCCA